This 27-nucleotide non-coding RNA is filed under the name Rattus norvegicus (Norway rat). Lineage: Eukaryota; Metazoa; Chordata; Mammalia; Rodentia; Muridae. The record is from RNAcentral.
UCAAAGAGAUAACAAGUUCUGGGCAAA